RNAcentral lists this ribosomal RNA (253 nucleotides) under uncultured bacterium. RNAcentral's name for it is "partial 16S ribosomal RNA". It matches the Rfam family "Bacterial small subunit ribosomal RNA", at positions 524 to 776 of the family's 1533-position model. The record is from RNAcentral.
UACGUAGGGGGCAAGCGUUGUUCGGAAUUACUGGGCGUAAAGGGUGCGUAGGCGGCAUGGCAAGUCGGGAGUGAAAGGCCUGGGCUCAACCGAGGAACUGCUUUCGAGACUGCCAAGCUAGAGUGCGGAAGGGGCAACUGGAAUUCCCAGUGUAGCGGUGAAAUGCGUAGAUAUUGGGAAGAACACCUGAGGCGAAGGCGGGAUGCUGGGCCGACACUGACGCUGAGGCGCGAAAGCCAGGGGAGCAAACGGG